This is an RNA transcript of Triticum dicoccoides, 4410 nucleotides long. RefSeq lists it as uncharacterized. The transcript has 3 exons. NCBI's taxonomy places the organism in Eukaryota, Viridiplantae, Streptophyta, Magnoliopsida, Poales, Poaceae. The record is from RefSeq and is a predicted model, not a curated record.
GCCUGCCGCCCCCAUCCCCAGCGCGCAAACCCCCAGGUCGCCACCUGCCUCAUCGCGACGCCGUCCACUUGCCCUUCCUCAUGGCUUCUCCCAGCCAUGGCGAGCGCCUCCUCCCUGCUCCAAGCUCGCUGCAGACUACACAGAGCCGCCAGCCCCCGCCGCCUCCCGUGCAGUACAACGCCGCCCCUGUACAAGGUUCAAAGACCUUGUAGUGAGAAGGAAGGGAGAUGCUAAGGUCCGGCAGCUUCCUCGUUGCCAUCCUGGUCGUGGCUUUGCUGCGGCACACCUCGCACUGCUUCUCCUCGCUGGACUAGUCGACCUGCAAGAGAUCAACUCAAACAAAAAUUACCAAGGUGAAACUAAACUGAAAUAGUGAUGCUUGAUGAAAGCCUUCUGCUGCCUACAAGUUAAGAAAAUCCGAUCCCAAUACCGUGUCUGUGUUUAUGUCAGUAAACAGAUACUCAAAAUACGCCGAAUAUUGAGUUCUUCUUGCAGAGGGGCUGACGCUACUUCUUAUACCAAUAUUUUGAUUCUGCCAUGUAGUUUUUCUCUUUUCUUUUGUGGGGAAAAAACCCCGAAUGGAGUCAUGCAGCAUAACACCACCUUGUAGGUUUUUUUUUAGUUCAUCAUACAGCUCACCUUGUAGGAUUUAGCGCGCCCUACCGCGCGUCCUCCAUCGAACGGUCGAACUUCCUGUCCUCCGGUCCUCCCUCUCCACCACUCUAGGAUCUGAAUCGCCGUCCCAGUCCAACACCAUAGCGUCGGGGUGGUCGAGGGCAAGGCUGCCGGCUUCCUAUUUCCUGUGUAGCUCGUCGCCGCCCCACUACAACUUCCACCGCCAUGCGCAGCCAUCCAACCUAAGGGCCCCGUGGUCGCAUUAGUGUCGGUGUAUCUUACUGUAAAGUGUAAUGGGCCAACAAAUUAUUUCAUGUUUCUGAUCAAGGUUGCUUGCUUGAUCGAAUUUAAAUUAAAUCUGAUCUGCAUGAUGCAUAAUUAAGGCGAACCAUUUUUCCAUGUCAUCAUGUCUCUGCUACCAUGAUUUUUUUAGAAGACUGCUGCCAUGAUUUCAUACACUAGAAUGGUUGAAAAAGUUGUUUCCUAGAUUUUAGUUAUUGGAUUAAAUAUAAAGACUGCAUGUGUAAUCUCCACAUGCAGGAGGCAGUGCCCUUGUGCGUCGAAGAACGACAUUGACCUUCCUGUAGAAUUUGUUGCUUGUUGGCCUAUACGUGUUUUUUAAUGCCUGUGAAGCAUGAGACAACACACACAACAGUUCAGUUCACACUCAGAUCAGUUUCUUAUUUUAUUUCAGUUCAAAUUGAUAGCAAAAGUACUCUUAGACUACAUUACAAGUACUAAUAACUUUCUACGAACACACAUCGGGCUCUACUGCUGCUGCUCGACUCUAAGUCGCUUCAUCUCUAAUUGUUGUUGUGAUGCUAAGGUUUUGAUUUAGAGAAAACAAAGAACGGAAAGGAAAAAGAAAUCACGCUUUUCUAUUGUUGUGAUGUUGUUUUGUUGCCCUCAACUUGUUUGUUAGAAUGCCUACAACAACUGGCAGUGACGAACAUGACAGGCCCCUCCAGACGACCUCCUCUGGUUCGGCCUUUCGUCAAUGGAGAAAAGAAGACUGAUGUGGUGCUCCUGUUGGCUGUACUCUGGAGAAGAGUUAACAGAAAGUUGCAGCAAAGAACAAAAAAGAAGAAAAAAUAUAGGGUUGCAGUUUAAAGAAGUUGGGAAUUAAAAGUUCAAGUUGUGCUAAUUGUCGCCGAACCUCGGGUCGAUUCAUUCCUAAGCUAUGUCUUCAGUCAGCAGCGGAGAUGCCUGCGGGUAUCAAACUUUGUUAACGGGCAGAUAUGAACAAGUUAGCUCCGUGCAUAUCAUCAUUCUGAGAGUCUGACAGAUUUGUGUUGAUUGAAUCCAUGGUGGCAGUAGAACAUUAAGUACCAUGGAGUUUACAGUCAUUGUGAGCAGGAAUACAACAGGUUUCAUCUUGCUUGCUAUUCCGCUCUACUGAAAUCUUGUUACCUGCUGAUUUGCUAUAUUAUAAGUUCUCAUUAUUCAGUUAUUCUUCCAAAUUAAGUGAAGCGACCUCCCAGGAGAGAGAGCGACCGCUGUGCAGCGAUGCAUCUUGCCGCCGUCGUCGCCGCUUGCAUAGUUCUCUGAAUGGAUGGAUGGAUGGGUACAGUUCUCUGAAUGUGAAGGUGUUCACUAAGAUUCUCAACAAAUUUGUACAUACAUACAACCCACUAGCAACAUAUUUAUGUGCGUACGUACUUUGCAAGAUGGAUGGACAGGAACAGUAUAGUCGUUAGACAAUAUAACUAAGGAUGUUGUAGUACUUAAUUAGUUAAGCUUCUUUUAGCGGAGAAUAUACUGGUCAUCACAGAGUAGUAUCAACUAUAAAGUCGCACACACAGCUAGUGAUCUAUGUGGUUGUUCUACUGAAUUGACAUACUAUUGCAAUUUGCACUAACAUACUAAACGUAAAUGUGAUUGAAUGUUUUUCAUGGAUUGAUGAACUUUCUCAUUGAGUCCUUAUUCAUUGAACUCUUUUGUGUAUAAUUAGAACAUACAAGUGUUCUAAGAACUUUGUAUCUUGAAAUCUGGAAUUUAUUAUAAUGCAAACUAUAUUUUGUGAAUUGCAACCUUUUGGUUUGCAAAAAAAGUGUGUGUUUGCAUUUGUACUGCAAUUACCUUACAUGUAUGAACUGCAGGUAUUUUGUGAAAAUGGAGGAAUUUAUUACAUAUUUAUAGCUUUGCGUAUGGAAACUGGAAGUUCAAGAUUGGCAAUAGAUUCAGUUCUUUUGUACAAAUGUCCUAUAGUUCAGUGACAUCUCCAAUUGAUAUAGUUGUCUUGAAUCUCCAGUCGAUUGUUGCUCAGCUUCCUCGCAAUUUACUCAAUCUCGUUCUGCUCCAAAGCAUGCUUCAGUUCAACAAAAAGCUCCAGAAAAGUUCAGAGUUCACAGGAGUCACUUCAGGUUGGCUCUUUUUUAUUCGCCAGUUUGGGAUAAAGUAAGGAGAGGUGGAGUUCAACAAUACAGAAAGGUGAUGGUUUCGACUGGGGCUUCCGUGACGAUCCGCUGGUGGUGGCCGCCUCCAGGUGCACCAUCAUGACCGGCAGCCGUCCAAGUGGAACGCGGACAUCAGUUCAAGCAGAACUAAUUCGUAUAAACUGUCUGGUUUACCCUAAGUUUCCACCGUUUAAGUUCAGUUCAAUUUCUAAUUUAGGUUCCGUUCAUAGGAGCACUUAAAAACCAAUUAGUUUGUUUCACUUAUAUUCCAUGAACUUCUAGUACCCUAAUUGAUGUGGUAGUGACAUGAUCUCCCUCUCCGCCACUCUAGGAUCUGCAGCGUCGUCCCAGUCCGACUCCAUGGCGUACAUUAACUAGGUUACAAUAGUUGCUAUAGCAGAAACAAUACACAACUCUUUUUAGGUUUCUUUGUGAACUUAUAAUGUUUACUGUACAUGAACUUGGUUGUUCUUUUUACAUGAACUUGUACAUUGCCUUGCCAGGUUGUGCGUGUACUACCCAUAGGAGCACUUGAGAAAUUAAGUUCUAUUUAAUUUCCAAUUUAAAUUUAGUUCAUAGGAGCACUUGGAAAUUGGUUAGUUUGUUUUACUUAUAUUCCAUGAACUUCUAAUACCAUUGAUUUGGUAGUGACAUGAGCUCCUUCUCCACCACUCUAGAAAUGUGCGACGGUUUAGCAAAAAAUGGUGUAUCAUCAGUUCAGAUUCAAAAAGACCAAAACUUCAGAGGAAGAAAAAUUCAACGAAGAAAAAACCCAAGGUGGCUUGCGAAGAAACCUGGGAAAACUAAGGCUUUGUUUUGUUUCUGCUCUCAUUUAUUCUAUGCUUUAGCAUUUGGUCGAUGAUAUUUAUUGCAUCCUUCAUCACUGAUCUUGGGAAGGAGAUUCAUUCGUGCAUGUCUAGUAUAAAUCUAUUGAUUUUUAUUGGUUUAGGGAUUUCAGGAGAGUGGAGACCUGGAAGAGCACUUUCAGGCGUUGUUGGCCAUGACAAUAAAUGACUAGCAAGAGCACUUUAAACAGUCCAGGAAGACAACAACAACAACAACAACAACAACAACGAUAAAAAUGCAACGAUGCACUAUGCUGACAUUGGCGAAAAGCUAUGAUUUUGUGCUCCUGUUUGUUGUUAUGUCAAUGAGAAACCAAUACUUCUUUUCUUUGGCUUUUGUGUUUGGAUCGGUGAGGGAUAAACAUUUUUUUCCUAUUCAAGUGGAAGCUCCCAGUAUAUGAUGGAUGUGGGGGUUAUUUUUACAUUGGGAGAGAGAAACAAGUAUACUGCCUCCCGGCUCAUGCUUCACAGGCAUAUAUAGGACAUGAUGAUGCAUGACUCCAUUUGGGAUUUCAGUUUAGUUUCACCUUUGGUAAUUAUUAUUUGAGUUGAUC